This 460-nucleotide ribosomal RNA is filed under the name uncultured bacterium. RNAcentral describes it as "partial 16S ribosomal RNA". It matches the Rfam family "Bacterial small subunit ribosomal RNA", at positions 338 to 795 of the family's 1533-position model. The record is from RNAcentral.
CCUACGAGUGGCAGCAGUGAGGAAUAUUGGUCAAUGGACGAGAGUCUGAACCAGCCAAGUAGCGUGAAGGAUGACUGCCCUAUGGGUUGUAAACUUCUUUUAUAAAGGAAUAAAACGAGGCACGUGUGCCUUUUUGCAUGUACUUUAUGAAUAAGGAACGGGUAACUCCGGACCAGCAGCCGCGGUAAUACGGAGGAUCCGGGCGUUAUCCGGUUUUAUUGGGUUUAAAGGGCUCGUAGAUGGGUUGUUAAGUCAGUUGUGAAAGGUUGCGGCUCAACCGUAAAAUUGCAAUUGAUACUGGCAGUCUUGAGUACAGUUGAGGUAGGCGGAAUUCGUGGUGUAGCGGUGAAAUGCUUAGAUAUCACGAAGAACUCCGAUUGCGAAGGCAGCUUACUAAACUGCCACUGACAUUGAUGCUCGAAAGUGUGGGUAUCAAACAGGAUUAGAUACCCGGGUAGUC